Molecule: ribosomal RNA, 563 nt
Filed under: Streptomyces sp. 340F06
Lineage: Bacteria; Bacillati; Actinomycetota; Actinomycetes; Kitasatosporales; Streptomycetaceae
Description: bacterial SSU rRNA
Rfam family: Bacterial small subunit ribosomal RNA
Source: RNAcentral
UAGUGGCGAACGGGUGAGUAACACGUGGGCAAUCUGCCCUGCACUCUGGGACAAGCCCUGGAAACGGGGUCUAAUACCGGAUAACACUGUCCCCCUCCUGGGGGACGGUUGAAAGCUCCGGCGGUGCAGGAUGAGCCCGCGGCCUAUCAGCUUGUUGGUGGGGUAAUGGCCUACCAAGGCGACGACGGGUAGCCGGCCUGAGAGGGCGACCGGCCACACUGGGACUGAGACACGGCCCAGACUCCUACGGGAGGCAGCAGUGGGGAAUAUUGCACAAUGGGCGAAAGCCUGAUGCAGCGACGCCGCGUGAGGGAUGACGGCCUUCGGGUUGUAAACCUCUUUCAGCAGGGAAGAAGCGAAAGUGACGGUACCUGCAGAAGAAGCGCCGGNUAACUACGUGCCAGCAGCCGGGGUAAUACGUAGGGCGCAAGCGUUGUCCGNAAUUAUUGGNCGUAAAGAGCUCGUAGGCGGUCUGUCACGUCGGGUGUGAAACCCGGGGCUUAACCCCGGNUCUGCAUUCGAUACGGGCAGACUAGAGUGUGGNAGGGGAGAUCGGAAUUCCU